Molecule: long non-coding RNA, 539 nt
Organism: Mustela lutreola (European mink)
Lineage: Eukaryota; Metazoa; Chordata; Mammalia; Carnivora; Mustelidae
Exons: 2
Source: RefSeq, a predicted model, not a curated record
CCUCCAAGCUAACAACACUUCAUACGCAGAGAUUAAUUUGUCACUAAUAUUGAUUGUCGGAGGCCUGUCUCAUUCUAGUUAAGACGCCACGAGGCACCAACAGCGGCCACUUGUGCUUGAUUUUUUUUCCUUCUAAAACGUCCAGGAUGUUGAGGAGGCAACUCCAGGAGGUGCCAGCCCCAAGUUCUGUCAAACUGGAUCCAGCAGGGCUGCCCCCGCCGAGGGCAAGGAUUAUCCGAAUAUGAAGGCAGCUGAAAGCCCACCUUCUCCAGUUUCCCGCGGCGUGGAGACGGCUCGGUGACAUCCAACCGUCCAGGAAGUGCCUUUGCAAGAGUGGGCGCAAAGAAAGGACGGAACACAGGAGAGGUGUGCAGAACUCACUUUCAUCAGAGGAUCGGCUUUCAGGCCGGUUCGGGAGUCCAGAGCGUUAUUGUAUUACACACGGCAGGGAAAUGCGCCUUGCUCUGCUUCCUUCUCCCCCACCCCUCGCCUUUCUUUUCUUUGACUGUUUUCGAAAUAAAAGAGUGUUUUCUUCCAAA